UACCCGCGGCAAGACGGAAAGACCCCGUGAACCUUUACUAUAGCUUGACACUGAACAUUGAGCCUUGAUGUGUAGGAUAGGUGGGAGGCUUUGAAGUGUGGACGCCAGUCUGCAUGGAGCCGACCUUGAAAUACCACCCUUUAAUGUUUGAUGUUCUAACGUGGACCCGUAAUCCGGGUUGCGGACAGUGUCUGGUGGGUAGUUUGACUGGGGCGGUCUCCUCCUAAAGAGUAACGGAGGAGCACGAAGGUUGGCUAAUCCUGGUCGGACAUCAGGAGGUUAGUGCAAUGGCAUAAGCCAGCUUGACUGCGAGCGUGACGGCGCGAGCAGGUGCGAAAGCAGGUCAUAGUGAUCCGGUGGUUCUGAAUGGAAGGGCCAUCGCUCAACGGAUAAAAGGUACUCCGGGGAUAACAGGCUGAUACCGCCCAAGAGUUCAUAUCGACGGCGGUGUUUGGCACCUCGAUGUCGGCUCAUCACAUCCUGGGGCUGAAGUAGGUCCCAAGGGUAUGGCUGUUCGCCAUUUAAAGUGGUACGCGAGCUGGGUUUAGAACGUCGUGAGACAGUUCGGUCCCUAUCUGCCGUGGGCGCUGGAGAACUGAGGGGGGCUGCUCCUAGUACGAGAGGACCGGAGUGGACGCAUCACUGGUGUUCGGGUUGUCAUGCCAAUGGCACUGCCCGGUAGCUAAAUGCGGAAGAGAUAAGUGCUGAAAGCAUCUAAGCACGAAACUUGCCCCGAGAUGAGUUCUCCCUGAGACUUAGAGUCUCCUGAAGGAACGUUGAAGACGACGACGUUGAUAGGCCGGGUGUGUAAGCGCAGCGAUGCGUUGAGCUAACCGGUACUAAUGAACCGUGAGGCUUAACCUU
Molecule: ribosomal RNA, 864 nt
Filed under: Salmonella enterica subsp. enterica serovar Kentucky
Lineage: Bacteria; Pseudomonadati; Pseudomonadota; Gammaproteobacteria; Enterobacterales; Enterobacteriaceae
Description: partial 23S ribosomal RNA
Rfam family: Bacterial large subunit ribosomal RNA
Source: RNAcentral